GACGUAGGGCGCGAGCGUUGUCCGGAUUUAUUGGGCGUAAAGAGCUCGUAGGCGGCUUGUCGCGUCGUCCGUGAAAACCCAUGGCUCAACUGUGGGCGUGCGGGCGAUACGGGCAGACUUGAGUUCGGUAGGGGAGACUGGAAUUCCUGGUGUAGCGGUGAAAUGCGCAGAUAUCAGGAGGAACACCGGUGGCGAAGGCGGGUCUCUGGGCCGAUACUGACGCUGAGGAGCGAAAGCGUGGGGAGCGAACAGG
Molecule: ribosomal RNA, 253 nt
Filed under: uncultured bacterium
Lineage: Bacteria
Description: partial 16S ribosomal RNA
Rfam family: Bacterial small subunit ribosomal RNA
Source: RNAcentral